Molecule: ribosomal RNA, 450 nt
Filed under: uncultured bacterium
Lineage: Bacteria
Description: partial 16S ribosomal RNA
Rfam family: Bacterial small subunit ribosomal RNA
Source: RNAcentral
GUGGGGAAUUUUGGACAAUGGGCGCAAGCCUGAUCCAGCCAUGCCGCGUGCAGGAUGAAGGCCUUCGGGUUGUAAACUGCUUUUGUACGGAACGAAAAGACUCUUUCUAAUAAAGAGGGUCCAUGACGGUACCGUAAGAAUAAGCACCGGCUAACUACGUGCCAGCAGCCGCGGUAAUACGUAGGGUGCGAGCGUUAAUCGGAAUUACUGGGCGUAAAGCGUGCGCAGGCGGUGAUGUAAGACAGAUGUGAAAUCCCCGGGCUCAACCUGGGAACUGCAGUUGUGACUGCAGCGCUGGAGUGCGGCAGAGGGGGAUGGAAUUCCGCGUGUAGCAGUGAAAUGCGUAGAUAUGCGGAGGAACACCGAUGGCGAAGGCAAUCCCCUGGGCCUGCACUGACGCUCAUGCACGAAAGCGUGGGGAGCAAACAGGAUUAGAAACCCUUGUAGUCC